Molecule: unclassified non-coding RNA, 324 nt
Filed under: Hevea brasiliensis (rubber tree)
Lineage: Eukaryota; Viridiplantae; Streptophyta; Magnoliopsida; Malpighiales; Euphorbiaceae
Source: RNAcentral
GGGUUUUCUACUGAAGAAAAAUGUAUUUUAGUCGUAUUUUAUUUUGUUUGGUGGUUUGCUAGAAAGGUACUUGAAUGUGGUGGGAUGGACUUCUCUCGAGGUUUAAGAUACAUAUAUGGUCUUGAUGUGCUGGUUUAGCCUUUGAACCAUCGAAUUAAGAUAUUAUUGUUAGUUCGUUACGAUGUCUAAUUGUCUAUUGACAUUGGUCGCCCCUUGGUUUUUCUCAAUACCUGAUGGUAGAAGUCCACAUUAUUUUGACUGAUCUUGAUCUAGCACCAUUACUGUAUUAAUUGUUCUCUUGAAUCUUAUGAAUAUAUACUGUUG